UUAACAAUUUCGAUGGAUCGGUAUAUCUGGAAGUUCUACAGCAGCCCAGUAUCCAGCACGAGGCGGUGAUGUGUGUCGAACGUUCUAACUGUUGGAUGACUCCGUACAUAGAAUAUCUGGCAGAUGGCGUCCUUCUUUCGGAUAAAAUGUUGGCCAAAAAGGUUAAGUACAAGAGUGUUAAUUUUGUUCUCAUUGAUGGAGAUCUUUUUCGAAAAGCUUUUUCAUCUC
This 228-nucleotide long non-coding RNA is filed under the name Panax ginseng (ginseng). Its description in RNAcentral is "long non-coding RNA (PGIN_LNC013079)". The record is from RNAcentral. Lineage: Eukaryota; Viridiplantae; Streptophyta; Magnoliopsida; Apiales; Araliaceae.